RNAcentral lists this unclassified non-coding RNA (328 nucleotides) under soil metagenome. RNAcentral's name for it is "partial contains 5.8S ribosomal RNA, internal transcribed spacer 2, and large subunit ribosomal RNA". The stretch from base 1 to 120 matches the Rfam family "5.8S ribosomal RNA", at positions 35 to 154 of the family's 154-position model. The record is from RNAcentral.
GAUGAAGAACGUAGCGAAAUGCGAUAAGUAAUGUGAAUUGCAGAAUUCAGUGAAUCAUCGAAUCUUUGAACGCACAUUGCGCCCUCUGGUAUUCCGGGGGGCAUGCCUGUUCGAGCGUCAUUAUAACCACUCAAGCUCUCGCUUGGUAUUGGGGUUCGCGGUUCCGCGGCCCCUAAAAUCAGUGGCGGUGCCUGUCGGCUCUACGCGUAGUAAUACUCCUCGCGAUUGAGUCCGGUAGGUCUACUUGCCAGCAACCCCCAAUUUUUACAGGUUGACAUCGGAUCAGGUAGGGAUACCCGCUGAACUUAAGCAUAUCAUAAGCGGAGGA